AUUCCAGCUCCAAUAGCGUAUACUAAAGUUGUUGCAGUUAAAAAGCUCGUAGUUGAAUUUCUGGUCUUGGACAGCGGUCUGCCUCAAACGAGGUACGCACCAUCUAUCCGAGUCCAUCCUCGGGGAAAACAUGUCUGUGAUUCAGUUCAUGGGCAUGGGAUCCUCGUCAUUUACUGUGAGCAAAAUAGAGUGUUCAAAGCAGGCUUAUGCCGUUGAAUAUUUUAGCAUGGAAUAAUAAGAUAAGACCUUGGUCUAUUUUGUUGGUUUGUACUCCAAGGUAAUGAUUAAUAGGGACAGUUGGGGGUAUUCGUAUUCAAUUGUCAGAGGUGAAAUUCUUGGAUUUAUUGAAGACGAACUACUGCGAAAGCAUUUACCAAGGAUGUUUUCAUCG
Molecule: ribosomal RNA, 391 nt
Filed under: Chrysophyceae sp.
Lineage: Eukaryota; Chrysophyceae
Description: partial small subunit ribosomal RNA
Rfam family: Eukaryotic small subunit ribosomal RNA
Source: RNAcentral